UACGUAGGGGGCAAGCGUUGUCCGGAAUCAUUGGGCGUAAAGAGCGUGUAGGCGGCCCGGUAAGUCCGCUGUGAAAGUCCAGGGCUCAACCCUGGGAUGCCGGUGGAUACUGUCGGGCUCGAGUCCGGAGGAGGAGUGUGGAAUUCCUGGUGUAGCGGUGAAAUGCGCAGAUAUCAGGAGGAACACCAAUGGCGAAGGCAGCACUCUGGGACGUGACUGACGCUGAGACGCGAAAGCGUGGGGAGCAAACAGG
Molecule: ribosomal RNA, 253 nt
Filed under: uncultured bacterium
Lineage: Bacteria
Description: partial 16S ribosomal RNA
Rfam family: Bacterial small subunit ribosomal RNA
Source: RNAcentral